This 377-nucleotide ribosomal RNA is filed under the name Bacillus licheniformis. RNAcentral describes it as "bacterial SSU rRNA". It matches the Rfam family "Bacterial small subunit ribosomal RNA", at positions 54 to 419 of the family's 1533-position model. Lineage: Bacteria; Bacillati; Bacillota; Bacilli; Caryophanales; Bacillaceae. The record is from RNAcentral.
CAUGCAAGUCGAAGCGGACAGAUGGGAGCUUGCUCCCUGAUGUUAGCGGCGGACGGGUGAGUAACACGUGGGUAACCUGCCUGUAAGACUGGGAUAACUCCGGGAAACCGGGGCUAAUACCGGAUGCUUGAUUGAACCGCAUGGUUCAAUUAUAAAAGGUGGCUUUUAGCUACCACUUACAGAUGGACCCGCGGCGCAUUAGCUANUUGGUGAGGUAACGGCUCACCAAGGCAACGAUGCGUAGCCNACCUGAGAGGGUGAUCGGCCACACUGGGACUGAGACACGGCCCAAACUCCUACGGGAGGCAGCAGUAGGGAAUCUUCCGCAAUGGACGAAAGUCUGACGGAGCAACGCCGCGUGAGUGAUGAAGGUUUUC